This 494-nucleotide ribosomal RNA is filed under the name Thymogethes funereus. RNAcentral's name for it is "partial 16S ribosomal RNA". The record is from RNAcentral. Lineage: Eukaryota; Metazoa; Arthropoda; Insecta; Coleoptera; Nitidulidae.
CAUGUCCUUUUGAUAUAUAUAUAUAAGGUCUAACCUGCCCUAUGAUUAAUGUAUUAAAUGGCCGCGGUAUUUUGACCGUGCAAAGGUAGCAUAAUCAUUAGUUUUUUAAUUGAAAGCUGGAAUGAAGGGUUGAAUGAGAAAAUGACUGUCUUUAUGAUAUUUAAUUAGAAUUUUAUUUUUAAGUUAAAAAGCUUAAAUUUAAUUUGUAGACGAGAAGACCCUUUAGAGUUUUAUAAAAAUUUAUUUUAAAUUUUUUAGUAAUAAUUUAAUUUUAUAUAUAAAUUUUUAUUUGAUUGGGGUGAUUGAAAAAUUUAAAAAACUUUUUUUUUUAUAUAACAUUUAUAUAUGAAUAAUUGAUCCAUAAAUUAUGAUUAUAAGAUUAAAUUACCUAAGGGAUAACAGCGUUAUUUUUUUUGAGAGUUCUAAUCGAAAGAAAAGUUUGCGACCUCGAUGUUGGAUUAAAAUUAAAUUAUGGUGUAGAGGCUAUAACUUUA